Molecule: ribosomal RNA, 494 nt
Filed under: uncultured bacterium
Lineage: Bacteria
Description: bacterial SSU rRNA
Rfam family: Bacterial small subunit ribosomal RNA
Source: RNAcentral
GACGAACGCUGGCGGCGUGCCUAACACAUGCAAGUCGAGCGGAGAUGUACUGAAGAUUUAUCGGAUGUACAUCUUAGCGGCGGACGGGUGAGUAACGCGUGGGCAACCUGCCUUUCACUGGGGGAUAACACAGGGAAACCUGUGCUAAUACCGCAUGACAUCACGUAGGGCAUCCUAUGUGAUCAAAGGAGAGAUCCGGUGGAAGAUGGGCCCGCGUCCAAUUAGCUGGUUGGUGAGGUAAAGGCUCACCAAGGCGACGAUUGGUAGCCGAACUGAGAGGUUGAUCGGCCACAUUGGGACUGAGACACGGCCCAGACUCCUACGGGAGGCAGCAGUGGGGAAUAUUGCGCAAUGGGGGGAACCCUGACGCAGCAACGCCGCGUGAAGGAAGAAGGUCUUCGGAUUGUAAACUUCUUUGAUGAGGGACGAAUAAAGUGACGGUACCUCAAAACAGCCACGGCUAACUACGUGCCAGCAGCCGCGGUAAUCACGAG